UUUACCCUACGGGGGGCAGCAGUGGGGAAUAUUGCACAAUGGGGGAAACCCUGAUGCAGCAACGCCGCGUGAGUGAAGAAGUCAUUCGUGAUGUAAAGCUCUAUCAGCAGGGAAGAAAAUGACGGUACCUGAGUAAGAAGCACCGGCUAACUCCGUGCCAGCAGCCGCGGUAAUACGGAGGGUGCGAGCGUUAAUCGGAAUCACUGGGCGUAAAGCGCGCGUAGGCGGCUUUUCAAGUCAGGGGUGAAAUCCCACGGCCCAACCGUGGAACUGCCUUUGAAACUGUAGAGCUUGAGUGUCGGAGG
This 305-nucleotide ribosomal RNA is filed under the name uncultured bacterium. Its description in RNAcentral is "bacterial SSU rRNA". It matches the Rfam family "Bacterial small subunit ribosomal RNA", at positions 333 to 655 of the family's 1533-position model. The record is from RNAcentral.